Molecule: ribosomal RNA, 253 nt
Filed under: uncultured bacterium
Lineage: Bacteria
Description: partial 16S ribosomal RNA
Rfam family: Bacterial small subunit ribosomal RNA
Source: RNAcentral
UACGUAGGUGGCAAGCGUUGUCCGGAAUUAUUGGGCGUAAAGCGCGCGCAGGCGGUCUUUUAAGUCUGAUGUGAAAGCCCACGGCUCAACCGUGGAGGGUCAUUGGAAACUGGGGGGCUUGAGUGCAGGAGAGAAGAGUGGAAUUCCACGUGUAGCGGUGAAAUGCGUAGAGAUGUGGAGGAACACCAGUGGCGAAGGCGACUCUUUGGCCUGUAACUGACGCUGAGGCGCGAAAGCGUGGGGAGCAAACAGG